UCAGUUGCAAGCUGAUCGUCGGGAGAAGCGGUCGGUGUCUCAGUCGGGAAUCUUUCCAGUUAAUAAAGUGACAAAUGGACAACAUGAUGACAUUCAAGGAUAACAAGGCCCUAUUCAUAGGGGUAAACGUAUUUGUGGUUGCCUUUUUCUUGGGUGUCCUUAUAAUUCAUCACGUGUAUCAACAAUUGCCACCAGUAUAAAUAUAUAUGUAUACAUAGCUUUAUGGAAGCAUACUUAUCAUGUGGAGCGAUCUUUUACCUGUGAAAAUGCAGCAUUAAUCACCUCAAUGUAAUCGAAUCACAAUAAUAAAAUGUUGACUCAACUUCUGUAUCAGUUUUAAAA
Molecule: small RNA, 342 nt
Filed under: Drosophila virilis
Lineage: Eukaryota; Metazoa; Arthropoda; Insecta; Diptera; Drosophilidae
Description: GJ26271
Source: RNAcentral